GCCGGCGUAGCUCAAUGGUUAGAGCGGAGGAUUCAUAACCCUCAGACGGUGGUUCGAUUCCACCCGUCGGCA
RNAcentral lists this transfer RNA (72 nucleotides) under Candidatus Wolfebacteria bacterium. RNAcentral describes it as "tRNA-Met". It matches the Rfam family "tRNA". From Rfam's summary of the family: Transfer RNA (tRNA) molecules are approximately 80 nucleotides in length. Their secondary structure includes four short double-helical elements and three loops (D, anti-codon, and T loops). The record is from RNAcentral. Lineage: Bacteria; Candidatus Wolfeibacteriota.